RNAcentral lists this ribosomal RNA (285 nucleotides) under Triticum aestivum (bread wheat). RNAcentral describes it as "partial small subunit ribosomal RNA". Lineage: Eukaryota; Viridiplantae; Streptophyta; Magnoliopsida; Poales; Poaceae. The record is from RNAcentral.
AAAUCCCGUGAAUUAACUUGGGUCACAUGUGUGGUUUUGGCUGUUUUGACCGCAUCAUUUGGUGUAACUGGUUAUUCUUUGCCUUAGGAUCAAAUUGGCUAUUGGGCAGUCAAAAUUGCGAUAGGUGUACCUGACGCCAUUCCGAUAAUAGGAUCGCCUUUAGUGGAGUUAUUACACGGAAGUGCUAAUGUGGGCCAAUCCACUUUGACUCGUUUUUAUACUUUACAUAUUUUUGUACUGCCUCUGUUUACUGCCAUAUUUACUAUAAGACUACUAAAAAAAUAA